This 301-nucleotide ribosomal RNA is filed under the name uncultured bacterium. RNAcentral describes it as "partial 16S ribosomal RNA". It matches the Rfam family "Bacterial small subunit ribosomal RNA", at positions 509 to 808 of the family's 1533-position model. The record is from RNAcentral.
CAGCCGCCGCGGUAAUACGUAGGUCCCGAGCGUUGUCCGGAUUUAUUGGGCGUAAAGCGAGCGCAGGCGGUUAGAAAAGUCUGAAGUGAAAGGCAGUGGCUCAACCAUUGUAGGCUUUGGAAACUGUUUAACUUGAGUGCAGAAGGGGAGAGUGGAAUUCCAUGUGUAGCGGUGAAAUGCGUAGAUAUAUGGAGGAACACCGGUGGCGAAAGCGGCUCUCUGGUCUGUAACUGACGCUGAGGCUCGAAAGCGUGGGGAGCGAACAGGAUUAGAUACCCCAGUAGUCCCUGUCUCUUAUACA